AUUGAACGCUGGCGGUAGGCCUAACACAUGCAAGUCGAACGGCAGAAGGGUAAUUGCUUCUGCUUACAGGGGCGGACGGGCGGGUGAUGCAUGGAAACCUGCCUAGCUGCGGGUGAUAACGUCCGGACGCGGGGGCUCAUACCGUAUUAGUCCAGAGGGCGUACGGGGGGGAUCUUCGGAUCUUCCGCUCUCACACGAGCCUAUGUCGGAUUAGCUAGUUGGCGGGGUAAAGGCCUACCAAGGCGACGAUCCGUAGCUGGUCUGAGAGGAUGAUCAGUCACACUGGAACUGAGACACGGUCCAGACUCCUACGGGAGGCAGCAGUGGGGAAUAUUGGACAAUGGGCGCAAGCCUGAUCCAGCCAUACCGCGUGGGUGAAGAAGGUCUUCGGAUUGUAAAGCACUUUUGUUGGGGAAGAAAAGCAGUAAGUUAAUACCUUGCUGUUUUGACGGUACCAACAGAAUAAGCACCGGCUAACUUCGUG
RNAcentral lists this ribosomal RNA (484 nucleotides) under uncultured bacterium. Its description in RNAcentral is "partial 16S ribosomal RNA". It matches the Rfam family "Bacterial small subunit ribosomal RNA", at positions 30 to 507 of the family's 1533-position model. The record is from RNAcentral.